UUUUAUAUGAGAGUUUGAUCCUGGCUCAGGACGAACGCUGGCGGCAUGCCUAAUACAUGCAAGUCGAACGCACGAAGUUG
This 80-nucleotide ribosomal RNA is filed under the name Carnobacterium divergens. RNAcentral's name for it is "partial 16S ribosomal RNA". It matches the Rfam family "Bacterial small subunit ribosomal RNA", at positions 1 to 78 of the family's 1533-position model. The record is from RNAcentral. Lineage: Bacteria; Bacillati; Bacillota; Bacilli; Lactobacillales; Carnobacteriaceae.